This 487-nucleotide ribosomal RNA is filed under the name uncultured bacterium. Its description in RNAcentral is "bacterial SSU rRNA". It matches the Rfam family "Bacterial small subunit ribosomal RNA", at positions 19 to 518 of the family's 1533-position model. The record is from RNAcentral.
AUGGCUCAGAACGAACGCUGGUGGCGUGUCUUAUACAUGCAAGUCGAGCGAGGCAGCAAUGCCGAGCGGCGAACGGGUGAGUAACGCGUAAGCAAUCUGCCCCAUAUCAGGAAAUACCCGUGCCAACGCGCGGUUAAUGUCCAGGAGAGUGGCCUUCUGCAUGGAAGGUUGACUAGAGAUUUAUCGGUAUGGGAUGAGCUUGCGUCCGAUUAGCUAGUUGGCGGGGCAACGGCCCACCAAGGCGACGAUCGGUAGCCGGCCUGAGAGGGUGAUCGGCCACAUUGGGACUGAGAUACGGCCCAGACUCCUACGGGAGGCAGCAGUAGGGAAUAUUGCACAAUGGGGGAAACCCUGAUGCAGCAACGCCACGUGUGGGAAGAAGCAUUUCGGUGUGUAAACCACUGUCAUGAGGGAAUAAGGCCCUUAUCCGUAAGGGAUUGAAUGUACCUUGAGAGGAAGCACCGGCAAACUUCGUGCCAGCAGCGGC